This 413-nucleotide ribosomal RNA is filed under the name uncultured bacterium. RNAcentral's name for it is "bacterial SSU rRNA". It matches the Rfam family "Bacterial small subunit ribosomal RNA", at positions 505 to 918 of the family's 1533-position model. The record is from RNAcentral.
GUGUCAGCCGCCGCGGUAAUACGGAGGGGGUUAGCGUUGUUCGGAAUUACUGGGCGUAAAGCGCGCGUAGGCGGAUUAGAAAGUUGGGGGUGAAAUCCCGGGGCUCAACCUCGGAACUGCCUCCAAAACUGCUAGUCUAGAGUUCGAGAGAGGUGAGUGGAAUUCCGAGUGUAGAGGUGAAAUUCGUAGAUAUUCGGAGGAACACCAGUGGCGAAGGCGGCUCACUGGCUCGAUACUGACGCUGAGGUGCGAAAGUGUGGGGAGCAAACAGGAUUAGAUACCCUGGUAGUCCACACCGUAAACGAUGAAUGCCAGUCGUCGGGUAGUAUACUAUUCGGUGACACACCUAACGGAUUAAGCAUUCCGCCUGGGGAGUACGGUCGCAAGAUUAAAACUUAAAUGAAUUGGCGGGG